GACGAACGCUGGCGGCAUGCCUAACACAUGCAAGUCGAACGGAACCUUCGGGUCUAUGGGCGGAGCGCUACGUAACGCGUGGUAAGCUACCCGUAAGUUCCGAGUAACUCACCGAGAGAUAUGCUAAGACAACUGGAGCUAUUCGGGCCAAGGAGUUAUCGCCGUUGGAUGGGGCCGGGUUGGCUUAGUUGGUUGGUAGGGUAAUAGCAUACCAAGGGGACGAUCCUUAGCUGGUGUGGGAGGAUGCCCCGCCAGACUGGGACUGCGACACGGACUAGACCUCUACGCGGGGCAGCAGUGGGGAAUAUUGGACACUGGGCCCAAGCCUGACAACGCCAUGUCGCGUGAGUGAUGAAGGCCUUAGUGUUGUACAUCCGUCUUACACGGGAUGAUAAUGACAGUAAUGGGAGAAUAAGCUCCGGCUAACUACGUG
This 433-nucleotide ribosomal RNA is filed under the name uncultured bacterium. Its description in RNAcentral is "partial 16S ribosomal RNA". It matches the Rfam family "Bacterial small subunit ribosomal RNA", at positions 28 to 507 of the family's 1533-position model. The record is from RNAcentral.